Molecule: ribosomal RNA, 2917 nt
Filed under: Cohnella sp. LGH
Lineage: Bacteria; Bacillati; Bacillota; Bacilli; Caryophanales; Paenibacillaceae
Description: 23S ribosomal RNA
Rfam family: Bacterial large subunit ribosomal RNA
Source: RNAcentral
GGUUAAGCUAAUAAGUGCGCACGGAGGAUGCCUAGGCGCCAGGAGCCGAUGAAGGACGCGACGAACAGCGAUAUGCUUCGGGGAGCUGUAAGUGAGCUUUGAUCCGGAGAUUUCCGAAUGGGGAAACCCAGCUAUCGUAAUGGAUAGUUACCUUCGAGUGAAUACAUAGCUCGUCGGAGGCAUACCAGGGGAACUGAAACAUCUAAGUACCCUGAGGAAGAGAAAACAACAGUGAUUCCGUCAGUAGCGGCGAGCGAAAGCGGAUUAGCCCAAACCAGAGGGCUUGCUCUCUGGGGUUGUAGGACGUCUCACAUGGAGUGAUAAAAGAGCAUAUUAGGCGAAGAGGUCUGGAAAGGCCUGCCACAGAAGGUAAAAGCCCUGUAGCCGAAAGUGUGUUCUCUCCGAGACGGAUCCUGAGUACCGCGGGACACGUGAAACCCCGUGGGAAUCCGGCAGGACCAUCUGCCAAGGCUAAAUACUCCCUGGCGACCGAUAGCGAAGCAGUACCGUGAGGGAAAGGUGAAAAGCACCGCGGGAGCGGAGUGAAAGAGAACCUGAAACCGUGCGCUUACAAGAAGUCAGAGCCCGAUCUAGGGGUGAUGGCGUGCCUUUUGUAGAAUGAACCGGCGAGUUACGUUCACGUGCAAGGUUAAGCUGAUGAGGCGGAGCCGAAGGGAAACCGAGUCUGAAUAGGGCGCUUAAGUACGUGGUCGUAGACCCGAAACCGUGUGAUCUACCCCUGUGCAGGGUGAAGGUGCGGUAACACGCACUGGAGGCCCGAACUCGUGAGCGUUGAAAAGCUCUGGGAUGACGUGGGGGUAGGGGAGAAAUUCCAAUCGAACUCGGAGAUAGCUGGUUCUCCCCGAAAUAGCUUUAGGGCUAGCCUCGAGGUUGAGCAUCAUGGAGGUAGAGCACUGAUUGGGUGCGGGGCCCGCCAAGGGUUACCAAGUCCAGUCAAACUCCGAAUGCCAUGGAUGUAUACUCGGGAGUCAGACGGCGAGUGCUAAGAUCCGUCGUCAAGAGGGAAAGAGCCCAGAUCAUCAGCUAAGGUCCCCAAGUGUGUGUUAAGUGGGAAAGGAUGUGGAGUUGCGAAGACAACCAGGAUGUUGGCUUAGAAGCAGCCACCAUUUAAAGAGUGCGUAAUAGCUCACUGGUCGAGUGACUCUGCGCCGAAAAUGUAACGGGGCUAAACACACCACCGAAGCUAUGGCAUGCUUGGGUAGGGGAGCGUUGAAUGCGGGUAGAAGUCAGACCGGAAGGACUGGUGGACUGCAUUCAAGUGAGAAUGCCGGUAUGAGUAACGAAAAGACAGGUGAGAAUCCUGUCCGCCGAAAGCCUAAGGGUUCCUGGGGUAGGUUCGUCCGCCCAGGGUAAGUCGGGACCUAAGGCGAGGCCGAAAGGCGUAGUCGAUGGACAACAGGUUGAAAUUCCUGUACCACCGUAAUCCGUUAUGAGCGAUGGGGGGACGCAGGAGGGAAGCGACGCGAGCCGAUGGAUGUGCUCGUCCAAGCAGUGAGAGGGGUAUGUAGGCAAAUCCGCAUACUGUAACCUUGAGCUGUGAUGGGGAGGGAAAAUCACAGUACCGAAGGUCGUACACCCACGCUGCCAAGAAAAGCCUCUAGCCAGGAGAAGGUGCCCGUACCGUAAACCGACACAGGUGGGCGAGAUGAGAAUUCUAAGGCGCGCGGAAGAACUCUCGUUAAGGAACUCGGCAAAAUGACCCCGUAACUUCGGGAGAAGGGGUGCCUCGGUAGGGUGAAUAGCCCGAGGGGGCCGCAGUGAAGAGGCCCAAGCGACUGUUUAGCAAAAACACAGGUCUGUGCGAAGCCGUAAGGCGAAGUAUACGGGCUGACGCCUGCCCGGUGCUGGAAGGUUAAGGGGAGUGGUUAGGGGCAACCCGAAGCUGUGAACCGAAGCCCCAGUAAACGGCGGCCGUAACUAUAACGGUCCUAAGGUAGCGAAAUUCCUUGUCAGGUAAAUUCUGACCCGCACGAAUGGCGUAACGACUUGGGCGCUGUCUCAACGAGAGAUCCGGUGAAAUUUUAGUACCUGUGAAGAUGCAGGUUACCCGCGACGUGACGGAAAGACCCCAUGGAGCUUUACUGUAGCUUGAUAUUGAACUUUGGUACGGUCUGUACAGGAUAGGUGGGAGCCGAUGAAGCUGGGGCGCAAGCCUCAGUGGAGGCGCCGUUGGGAUACCACCCUGAUCGUAUCGGAGUUCUAACCUGCUGCCCUGAAUCGGGCAGAGGGACCGUGUCAGGCGGACAGUUUGACUGGGGCGGUCGCCUCCUAAAAAGUAACGGAGGCGCUCUAAGGUUCCCUCAGCGCGGUUGGAAAUCGCGCGAAGAGUGCAAAGGCAUAAGGGAGCUUGACUGCGAGACCUACAAGUCGAGCAGGGAGGAAACUCGGACUUAGUGAUCCGGUGGUACCGAAUGGAAGGGCCAUCGCUCAACGGAUAAAAGCUACCCUGGGGAUAACAGGCUUAUCUCCCCCAAGAGUCCACAUCGACGGGGAGGUUUGGCACCUCGAUGUCGGCUCAUCGCAUCCUGGGGCUGAAGUAGGUCCCAAGGGUUGGGCUGUUCGCCCAUUAAAGCGGUACGCGAGCUGGGUUCAGAACGUCGUGAGACAGUUCGGUCCCUAUCUGUCGCGGGCGUAGGAAAUUUGAGAGGGGCUGUCCUUAGUACGAGAGGACCGGGAUGGACGCACCGCUGGUGUACCAGUUGUUCCGCCAGGAGCAUCGCUGGGUAGCCAAGUGCGGAAGGGAUAAGCGCUGAAAGCAUCUAAGCGCGAAGCCUGCCUCAAGAUGAGAUUUCCCAAUUCGUAAGACCCCUGGAAGAACACCAGGUUGAUAGGCUCGGGGUGGAAGCGCAGCAAUGUGUGGAGCUGACGAGUACUAAUCGGUCGAGGGCUUAUCCUA